RNAcentral lists this ribosomal RNA (492 nucleotides) under uncultured bacterium. RNAcentral describes it as "partial 16S ribosomal RNA". It matches the Rfam family "Bacterial small subunit ribosomal RNA", at positions 29 to 507 of the family's 1533-position model. The record is from RNAcentral.
AGUGAACGCUGGCGGUAGGCCUAACACAUGCCAGUCGAACGGCAGCACAGUAAGAGCUUGCUCUUACGGGUGGCGAGUGGCGGACGGGUGAGGAAUACAUCGGAAUCUACUUUUUCGUGGGGGAUAACGUAGGGAAACUUACACUAAUACCGCAUACGACCUACGGGUGAAAGCAGGGGAUCUUCGGACCUUGCGCGAUUGAAUGAGCCGAUGUCGGAUUAGCUAGUUGGCGGGGUAAAGGCCCACCAAGGCGACGAUCCGUAGCUGGUCUGAGAGGAUGAUCAGCCACACUGGAACUGAGACACGGUCCAGACUCCUACGGGAGGCAGCAGUGGGGAAUAUUGGACAAUGGGCGCAAGCCUGAUCCAGCCAUACCGCGUGGGUGAAGAAGGCCUUCGGGUUGUAAAGCCCUUUUGUUGGGAAAGAAAAGCAGCAGGUUAAUACCCCGCUGUUCUGACGGUACCCAAGGAAUAAGCACCGGCUAACUUCGUG